GCCUGCAUGAAGCUGGAAUUGCUAGUAAUCGCGGAUCAGCAUGCCGCGGUGAAUACGUUCCCGGGCCUUGUACACACCGCCCGUCACACCAUGAGAGUCGGGAACACCCGAAGUCCGUAGUCUAACCCGCAAGGGAGGGCGCGGCCGAAGGUGGGUCCGGUAAUUGGGGUGAAGUCGUAACAAGGUAGC
Molecule: ribosomal RNA, 189 nt
Filed under: uncultured bacterium
Lineage: Bacteria
Description: partial 16S ribosomal RNA
Rfam family: Bacterial small subunit ribosomal RNA
Source: RNAcentral